GAUGAACGCUGGCGGCAUGCCUAAUACAUGCAAGUCGAACGAGAGGAAGGAAAGCUUGCUUUUCUGAAUCUAGUGGCGAACGGGUGAGUAACACGUAGGUAACCUGCCCAUGUGCCCGGGAUAACUUCUGGAAACGGAUGCUAAAACCGGAUAGGUAGCAGACAAGCAUUUGACUGCUAUUAAAGUGGCUAAGGCCAUGAACAUGGAUGGACCUGCGGUGCAUUAGCUAGUUGGUGAGGUAACGGCCCACCAAGGCGACGAUGCAUAGCCGGCCUGAGAGGGCGGACGGCCACAUUGGGACUGGGAAACGGCCCAAACUCCGACGGGAGGCAGCAGUAGGGAAUUUUCGUCAAUGGGGGGAACCCUGAACGAGCAAUGCCGCGUGAGUGAGGAAGGUCUUCGGAUCGUAAAGCUCUGUUGUAAGAGGAAAACGACAUUCAUAGGGAAUGAUGAGUGAGUGAUGGUAUCUUACCAGAAAGUCACGGCUAACUACGUGCCAGCAGCCGCCGUAU
Molecule: ribosomal RNA, 512 nt
Filed under: uncultured bacterium
Lineage: Bacteria
Description: partial 16S ribosomal RNA
Rfam family: Bacterial small subunit ribosomal RNA
Source: RNAcentral